CAGCGUUCACCAUAAUCCAUAUUAUUAUGUGAAAGAUGCAUUUUAUGUCCUGCAUACAAAUUAGUUUUAGAUAUUUUUUGCCUGAGGAUCAGAGGGGUCAAGUGACUUGCCAAUGGUCACACAGCUAAUAAGUGUCAAGGUACAACCAGGUCUUCCUGACUCUAAGCCUAGUCCUUGACCCAGUACAGCUUGAUACUGCUGUACUCCACACAAGAGGCACUAGACAAGUUAAAAACCUGGGCGUCUCUCUCCUUCCCUUACUGUAGCCAUGAAAGCCAGCCUGAGGCCUUUCACACUGAACUUCACCAUCACCAGCCUCCACUAUUCGGCAGACGUGGGACGUCAGGACUCACACAAGUUCAAUAUCACAGACGCCAUUAUGCAGCAUCUGGUGAGACUGCGUACCUCCAGCCCUCCUGCCUAUUUGCCCUCAUGUCCUGACCAUGACCCGACUUACUCACCUUUUUUUUUUUUUACCAGCUUGGCCACUUGUUCAAAAACAGCAGCAUUGGCUCCCUGUACUUUGGAUGCAAGGUUCUUGAGCUCAGAUCUAUGAAGAAAAAGGAUCACAGACAGGUGUGAGUGCCCUCUGCACCUACCACCAGUUCCCCAGCAGCAUUGUUCUGGAUGCCAAGCAGGUUUUCCAUGAGCUGAGCAACCAGAGUCAUGGCCUCCAGAAAUUGGGCCUCUGCUACCUGGACAAGGACAGUAUUUACCUCAAUGGUAAGCAGUCUCAUGGUGGGAAGGCUUAUCCCAGUCCCCGCCUUUUGUCUCUUCCCCUCCUCAUCUGUUUUAAUUGGACAAUUAGCUUUUUCUUCUGACCACUGUGAACAAGGUUAUAAUCUCAUCCAGAAAUUCAGAGGACAAAAAGACAGACUUCUAGAGACCAUACCUGUUCACCUAAGGAGCCAUUUUCUCAGAGCUUUUUGACUUGCUCUCAUUUGAUGGCCACUGUAGAGAGCUUUCCUUGGUCCUGUUUUGUUCAAUAUUUUUAUCAGUGGCUUGGAAAACAAUGUAGAUGGAAGCCAAUUAUAGAUCCCGUGAGUUGAGGAGAGAAGAGGUAGUUGAUACCUUUUCUGGGUGGACCACAACCCAGAAAGUUGAGAUAAUGCGACAAACUUAACAAGGUAAAAUUUAAUAGGAAUAAAUGUAAAAUUCCACAUAAGUAUAGAAUAGGG
RNAcentral lists this long non-coding RNA (1178 nucleotides) under Phascolarctos cinereus (koala). RNAcentral describes it as "lncRNA (ENSPCIG00000031721.1)". Lineage: Eukaryota; Metazoa; Chordata; Mammalia; Diprotodontia; Phascolarctidae. The record is from RNAcentral.